Molecule: long non-coding RNA, 1796 nt
Organism: Tarenaya hassleriana
Lineage: Eukaryota; Viridiplantae; Streptophyta; Magnoliopsida; Brassicales; Cleomaceae
Exons: 2
Source: RefSeq, a predicted model, not a curated record
UAACUUAAUGGGAAUUUUAAUCUUACUGUAUUGCCACGUCCGCACCGUGAGAUGUUCAAGGACAAAAAGACAGAAAUGCCCUUAACGACCUCGCCCAAAAUCUGUGUCUCCGGCGGAAUUCUGAGAAGAGUAGUAGCGGCUACGCAGCGCUGCCGGCUCCAGAGGGAAGAGGAGGCACGGAUGGAUGUGUACGCACGAGCAAUUGCUUCCUCGACGGCACUCCCUUCCCUGUCAGAACAGGUUGUGUUGCCUCUGUUGGUGGUCAGUACCUCUGGUCUCGUUUGCAGUCAUUUUCUGUCUUCCCGAUGAGAUGGGGUGUCAUUGUACAGAAAAGAGUUAAGUCUUCCUCUUCUGCCAUGGAAAUAGACAGUUGUUCUGUUUGUUUCCUCGUAUAGAGACCGUUGCCAUGGCGGGUUUGGACUAAGAUAAGGAAUCUACAAAGCUGCAUCCUUUUUAAUCUGUUAUUCUUUCUUUAUACAGGAAGAGGAAUGUAUUUUCGUACAUGGAUUCUUGUGCAUUUCGUUUAGGUCCUCGAUGAUAAUGAACAAUCUUGGAAUUGUUAAUAUGCCGGUGGAGGACCAUGGAACUCCUUCCAAACAACCGGAUGAGCUUACUGUGAGAUUAGGGUUUAAGGUUUUUUGGGUAAACGGGUAUUAUGGACCGAUGUCCAGACUAAUCAUGGGAUCGGGAGUAAGCUAUGUGAUUGAAAUUACGAUCAUCUCCCUACCUUGGAACUCGAACUCGGGACGGGAUAGACUCUUUGAAUACCUAUUUCACCGGUUGAUCUACCCAAGUUGGAUAGGGUUAAGGUUGUUAUUAUCUUUUAUGCUGCUAGGUCCUAGAUCAAGUUGUUUGUCUUUGUUUUACCUUCGCUUUGAGUUCACUAUGAAACAGUGAGACGAUAACUAAGGUCAGGCUCAGAAACGCGAACUUGUUUAGCGGUUUUACCAUGCUCUUUACGAUCCAUUUAUUAGUUUUUGAAUCCAUAACACAACCGUAGAAAGGAAUUUUUGCUUGAUUGCUGUGUUUGCCUAGCUGUUGACAUUCUCAGUUCACGAUACAACAGCAGAAAAGGGAACCAAGAUCGGAUAACGAAAUGUCUCGAUGUUCCUAAAAGUCCUGUUGAAUGUGCUAGACCUCAGAGGUGUUCUUGAUAAUGCGAUUAUUAGCUUCUUUCUUAGUUCACAUGAAAUAUUGAUAUAUGUGAACCAAGACCAGAUACUGAGACGUUAUGAUUUCCUCAAAUCCGUCACGGCUUUUCUUUCUCUUGAUUCAGGUCAUUGAACAAGUUUUAAGAGCUAGGCUUGUUCACAGGAGUCUCCAUUUGAACCGAUGCUGUUCUUCAGUACUUACAUAUGUAGUAAUCGAGUUUAAGAUUUCAAUACCCAUCAAUUAUGAACAUCAUUUUCUUGGUUCUGAUUUCAUCCUGUGGUGGAACAAGUCAGCGGUCUCUAUAGAAUUUUGUGACCGCUGUCAUGUCUUACAACCUAUCCAUAGCUUUCUAACUGAUGUAGAGGAAUUUCUUUUUUCUGAUGCACUGAAAAAUAAUUUGAAGGGAGAUUUGGCGCACUGGUCGGGAUGUUGCCGUUGUUAUCUAGAGGUCAAAGGUUCGAGUUCUGGAAGCCUACGCCUUUAAGGUGGAGACCCGGAUCAUUGGCGACCGGCCAGAACGAUUGUUGAACCUAAGACAUUCUCGUAAGGCUUUGCUUGAUUUGGUUUUCUAGAAAGAUAAUGUAGAGCUCUCCUAUUAGGCUGGACCCAGAAACCCAUUUUAUAUGUAAGCCGUCAGUUUAGUU